GAUGAACGCUGGCGGCGUGCCUAAUACAUGCAAGUCGAGCGAACAGACGAGGAGCUUGCUCCUCUGACGUUAGCGGCGGACGGGUGAGUAACACGUGGAUAACCUACCUAUAAGACUGGGAUAACUUCGGGAAACCGGAGCUAAUACCGGAUAAUAUAUUGAACCGCAUGGUUCAAUAGUGAAAGACGGUUUUGCUGUCACUUAUAGAUGGAUCCGCGCCGCAUUAGCUAGUUGGUAAGGUAACGGCUUACCAAGGCAACGAUGCGUAGCCGACCUGAGAGGGUGAUCGGCCACACUGGAACUGAGACACGGUCCAGACUCCUACGGGAGGCAGCAGUAGGGAAUCUUCCGCAAUGGGCGAAAGCCUGACGGAGCAACGCCGCGUGAGUGAUGAAGGUCUUCGGAUCGUAAAACUCUGUUAUUAGGGAAGAACAAAUGUGUAAGUAACUAUGCACGUCUUGAAGGUACCUAAUCAGAAAGCCACGGCUAACUACGUG
This 497-nucleotide ribosomal RNA is filed under the name uncultured bacterium. RNAcentral describes it as "partial 16S ribosomal RNA". It matches the Rfam family "Bacterial small subunit ribosomal RNA", at positions 28 to 507 of the family's 1533-position model. The record is from RNAcentral.